GGCGGCGUGGAUUAGGCAUGCAAGUCGCGCGAGAAAUCAAUUAGCUUGCUAAGAGAUGGACAGCGGCGAAAGGGAGAGUAAUACGUAGAAAUCUACCCCUUGGUCUGGGAUAGCGUCGGGAAACUGACGGUAAUACCAGAUAAAGUUUUCGAACCAAAGGUGUGAUUCCGCCGGGGGAUGAGUCUACGUGCUAUUAGCUAGUUGGUGAGGUAAUGGCCCACCAAGGCAACGAUGGCUAGCGGGUGUGAGAGCAUGACCCGCCUCACUGGGACUGAGACACUGCCCAGACACCUACGGGUGGCUGCAGUCGAGAAUCUUUGUCAAUGGACGAAAGUCUGAACAAGCGACGCCGCGUGCGGGAUGAAGGCCUUCGGGUUGUAAACCGCUGUCGUAGGGGAACAAAUGUAUUGAGGUACUCCUCUUUACUUGAGUGAUCCUAGGAGGAAGGACGGCUUAAGUUCGUGCCAGCAGCCGCGGUAAGACGAACCGUCCAAACGUUAUUCGGUAUCACUGGGCUUAAAGAGUUCGUAGGCGGCCAUGUAGGUCAGAUGUGAAUCCCACGGCUCAACCGUGGAACUGCGUUUGAAACCACAUGGCUUGAGGGAGAUAGAGGUGAGCGGAACAGAUGGUGGAGCGGUGAAAUGCGUUGAUAUCAUCUGGAACACCGGUGGCGAAGCGGCUCACUGGAUCUCUUCUGACGCUGAGGAACGAAAGCUAGGGUAGCGAACGGAUUAGAUACCCGGUGGUCCUAGCCGUAACGAUGAGCACUAGUCCUGGGAACU
This 782-nucleotide ribosomal RNA is filed under the name uncultured Planctomycetota bacterium. Its description in RNAcentral is "bacterial SSU rRNA". It matches the Rfam family "Bacterial small subunit ribosomal RNA", at positions 38 to 830 of the family's 1533-position model. The record is from RNAcentral. Lineage: Bacteria; Pseudomonadati; Planctomycetota.